Molecule: ribosomal RNA, 914 nt
Filed under: uncultured bacterium
Lineage: Bacteria
Description: bacterial SSU rRNA
Rfam family: Bacterial small subunit ribosomal RNA
Source: RNAcentral
AGAGUUUGAUCCUGGCUCAGGAUGAACGCUAGCGGCAGGCUUAAUACAUGCAAGUCGAGGGGCAGCAUGACUGUAGCAAUACAGUUGAUGGCGACCGGCAAACGGGUGCGGAACACGUACAGAACCUUCCUUCGAGCGGGGAAUAGCCCAGAGAAAUUUGGAUUAAUACCCCAUAGCAUAUUGAUAAGGCAUCUUAUUAAUAUUAAAGAUUUAUCACUUGAAGAUGGCUGUGCGGCUGAUUAGGUAGUUGGCGGGGUAACGGCCCACCAAGCCUGCGAUCAGUAACUGGUGUGAGAGCACGACCAGUCACACGGGCACUGAGACACGGGCCCGACUCCUACGGGAGGCAGCAGUAAGGAAUAUUGGUCAAUGGACGAAAGUCUGAACCAGCCAUGCCGCGUGGAGGAUGAAGGUCCUCUGGAUUGUAAACUUCUUUUAUAUGGGACGAAAAAGGGCCUUUCUAGGCCAACUGACGGUACCAUAUGAAUAAGCACCGGCUAACUCCGUGCCAGCAGCCGCGGUAAUACGGAGGGUGCAAGCGUUAUCCGGAUUCACUGGGUUUAAAGGGUGCGUAGGUGGGUUGGUAAGUCAGUGGUGAAAUCCCCGAGCUUAACUUGGGAACUGCCAUUGAUACUAUCAGUCUUGAAUACCGUGGAGGUUAGCGGAAUAUGUCAUGUAGCGGUGAAAUGCUUAGAUAUGACAUAGAACACCAAUUGCGAAGGCAGCUGGCUACACGAAUAUUGACACUGAGGCACGAAAGCGUGGGGAUCAAACAGGAUUAGAUACCCUGGUAGUCCACGCCCUAAACUAUGGAUACUCGACAUACGCGAUACACAGUGUGUGUCUGAGCGAAAGCAUUAAGUAUCCCACCUGGGAAGUACGAUCGCAAGAUUGAAACUCAAAGGAAUUGACGG